Molecule: ribosomal RNA, 402 nt
Filed under: uncultured bacterium
Lineage: Bacteria
Description: bacterial SSU rRNA
Rfam family: Bacterial small subunit ribosomal RNA
Source: RNAcentral
GGGAAUUUUGCGCAAUGGGCGAAAGCCUGACGCAGCAACGCCGCGUGAGCGAUGAAGUAUUUCGGUAUGUAAAGCUCUAUCAGCAGGGAAGAAAAUGACGGUACCUGACUAAGAAGCCCCGGCUAACUACGUUCCAGCAGCCGCGGUAAUACGUAGGGGGCAAGCGUUAUCCGGAUUUACUGGGUGUAAAGGGAGCGUAGACGGCUGUGCAAGCCAGAUGUGAAAGCCCGGGGCUCAACCCCGGGACUGCAUUUGGAACUGUGUGGCUGGAGUGUCGGAGAGGCAGGCGGAAUUCCUAGUGUAGCGGUGAAAUGCGUAGAUAUUAGGAGGAACACCAGUGGAGAAGGCGGCCUGCUGGACGAUGACUGACGUUGAGGCUCGAAAGCGUGGGGAGCAAACAGG